Molecule: ribosomal RNA, 2799 nt
Filed under: Robiginitomaculum sp.
Lineage: Bacteria; Pseudomonadati; Pseudomonadota; Alphaproteobacteria; Maricaulales; Robiginitomaculaceae
Description: 23S ribosomal RNA
Rfam family: Bacterial large subunit ribosomal RNA
Source: RNAcentral
GAUCAAGCGUUUUAAGGGCUUCCGGUGGAUGCCUUGGCGCGUAGAGGCGAUGAAGGACGUAGCACGUUGCGAUAAGCUUCGGUGAGCCACGAGCAGGCUUUGACCCGAAGAUUUCCGAAUGGGGAAACCCACCUUCAGCCUUUGGUUUUCGGUUGUCUGAUACUUCGGUACCAGACAGUCGAUUUCCAAUGGCUGAUCAAAGGUAUUUUAACCUGAAUACAUAGGGUUAAAAGGCAAACCCGGGGAACUGAAACAUCUAAGUACCCGGAGGAAAGGACAUCAACCGAGACUCCGUUAGUAGUGGCGAGCGAACGCGGACCAGGCCAGUGGUGAUUUCUACAUAACUGGAACUGUCUGGAAAGGCAGGCCGUAGUGGGUGACAGCCCCGUACAGGUAAACCGGAAAUCAUCCUCGAGUAGGGCGGGACACGUGAAAUCCUGUCUGAACGUGGGGGGGACCACCCUCCAAGCCUAAGUACUCCUACGCGACCGAUAGUGAACAAGUACCGUGAGGGAAAGGUGAAAAGCACCCCAAUGAGGGGAGUGAAACAGUUCCUGAAACCGGAAGCUUACAAGCAGUUGGAGCCCCCUUGCGGGGUGACAGCGUACCUUUUGUAUAAUGGGCCAGUGACUUAGUGUAACGAGCAAGCUUAAACCGUUAGGUGUAGGCGCAGCGAAAGCGAGUCUGAAUAGGGCAAUUCAGUUCGUUGCAUUAGACCCGAAACCGAGUGAUCUAGCUAUGAGCAGGUUGAAGGUGCGGUAACACGCACUGGAGGACCGAACCCACUUAUGUUGAAAAAUGAGGGGAUGACUUGUUGCUAGGGGUGAAAGGCCAAUCAAACUCGGAGAUAGCUGGUUCUCCGCGAAAUCUAUUUAGGUAGAGCGUCGCAUGAAUACUGACGGGGGUAGAGCACUGAAUGGGCUAGGGGGUCUCACCGACUUACCAAACCUAAUCAAACUCCGAAUACCGUUAAGUACUGUGCGGCAGACACACUACGGGUGCUAAGGUCCGUAGUGGAAAGGGAAACAGCCCUAACCGCCAGUUAAGGUCCCAAAGUAAUGGCUAAGUUGGAAAGGAUGUGGGAAUGCCCAGACAACCAGGAGGUUGGCUUAGAAGCAGCCAUCCUUUAAAGAAAGCGUAAUAGCUCACUGGUCAAGCGUUCCUGCGCCGAAAAUGUAACGGGGAUUAAGCCAUUCACCGAAACUGCGGGCUUGCGUAAGCAAGCGGUAGCGGAGCGUUCCGUAAGCCAGUGAAGCCAUCUCGCGAGAGGUGGUGGAGGUAUCGGAAGUGAGAAUGCUGGCAUGAGUAGCGAUAAAGAGGGUGAGAGACCCUCUCGCCGAAAGUCCAAGGGUUCCUGCGCAAUGCUAAUCAGCGCAGGGUUAGCCGACCCCUAAGGCGAGGCCGAAAGGCGUAGUCGAUGGGAAUCUGGUAAAUAUUCCAGAGCCAGUGGGUAGUGACGGAUUGCGUAUAUUGUUUCCCCUUAUCGGAUUGGGGAGGCGAUGAAGCGGUCCCUGGAAAUAGCUCCCACAUAAGAUCGUACCCCAAACCGACACAGGUGGACAGGUAGAGCAUACCAAGGCGCUUGAGAGAACGAUGCUGAAGGAACUCGGCAAAUUGCACGCGUAACUUCGGGAUAAGCGUGACCCUCAUCCGGGCAACCGGUUGGGGGUGUCACAAAAUUGGGGGUGGCGACUGUUUACUAAAAACAUAGGGCUCUGCGAAGUCGCAAGACGACGUAUAGGGUCUGACGCCUGCCCGGUGCCGGAAGGUUAAAUGGAGCGGUGAGAGCUGCGAAAUGAAGCCCCGGUAAACGGCGGCCGUAACUAUAACGGUCCUAAGGUAGCGAAAUUCCUUGUCGGGUAAGUUCCGACCUGCACGAAUGGCGUAACGACUUCCCCACUGUCUCCAGCAUCGACUCAGCGAAAUUGAACUCUCCGUGAAGAUGCGGAGUUCCCGCGGUCAGACGGAAAGACCCCGUGCACCUUUACUACAGCUUCACAGUGGUAUUGGCGACAACAUGUGUAGGAUAGGUGGGAGACUUUGAAGCCCGAGCGCCAGCUCAGGUGGAGUCAUCCUUGAAAUACCACCCUUGUUUUCGCUAAUAUCUAACUGCGGUCCAUGAACCUGGAUCCGGGACCCUGUGUGGCGGGUAGUUUGACUGGGGCGGUCGCCUCCCAAAGAGUAACGGAGGCGCGCGAUGGUAGGCUCAAGCUGGUCGGAAAUCAGCUGUCGAGUGCAAUGGCAUAAGCCUGCCUGACUGUGAGACUGACAGGUCGAACAGAGUCGAAAGACGGUCAUAGUGAUCCGGUGGUCCUGAGUGGAAGGGCCAUCGCUCAACGGAUAAAAGGUACGCCGGGGAUAACAGGCUGAUGAUGCCCAAGAGUCCAUAUCGACGGCAUUGUUUGGCACCUCGAUGUCGGCUCAUCGCAUCCUGGGGCUGGAGCAGGUCCCAAGGGUUUGGCUGUUCGCCAAUUAAAGCGGUACGUGAGCUGGGUUUAGAACGUCGUGAGACAGUUCGGUCCCUAUCUGCCGUGGGUGUUGGAAAUUUGAGAGGAGCUGUCCCUAGUACGAGAGGACCGGGAUGGACAUACCUCUGGUGGACCUGUUGUGGCGCCAGCCGCAUUGCAGGGUAGCUAUGUAUGGAAUGGAUAACCGCUGAAAGCAUCUAAGCGGGAAACCAGCCUCAAGACUAGAUUUCCCUAUCAGAGCCGUGGAAGACCACCACGUUGAUAGGCUGCGUGUGGAAGCAUGGCAACAUGUGAAGCUUAGCAGUACUAAUUGCUCGAUUGGCUUGAUCUU